RNA transcript from Vitis riparia (riverbank grape), 2575 nucleotides. It is a transcript of the gene named actin-related protein 3, with no coding region annotated. The record is from RefSeq and is a predicted model, not a curated record. The transcript has 2 exons. Lineage: Eukaryota; Viridiplantae; Streptophyta; Magnoliopsida; Vitales; Vitaceae.
GACCCCAAUAAAAAACGGUGAAAAUUUUGUUUCUUCUUGAGAUAUGAUCCAUGUGAAACAAUGUAGAAUUGCCUAUUUGAUGUUUCAAACUUGAGCCUGGUAGUGUCCAUGAAUUGCUUGGGGGGUCCUAAAAUCUCUACAUUUUGAGUUCAUUCAUCAGUAACUUCAUUUUAUGUCCAGCUUUUGUUAAUUAUUAGCAAUGAUUGCAUUCAAAUGUUCCCGAUAAAGCAUUAAACUUCAAACCAUGAACUAUGGUUGACUUCAAACUUUGUCAUGAGUAGGAAGUAGGACCAUAUAUUUUUGUGGGUCUGUAGAAUUGAUUCCAAUUGUCUAAGCAUCAAAAGAACCAUGACAUUGAGUACAGGGGCUGCCAUGGGAUGGAAUUAUGAUCACAAUUCCUAUGUCAUUACACACUGAGUGGUUUGGUCCAUAGUGAUAACAUCUGAAUCUGCUAGAUCAGAUAGGAUCAAACUGUAUUUGAAUACACUGUUUUGAUCCUACUAGAUUGAAGCUUUUUGAAGAUUUUUCCUGUAAUUGAGUUUCCCAAAGUUGGUUCCCUCCCUCAUGAUUACUAUUAGUAAGGGCUUAAAAAUCUUUUGAGAUUUUGAUUGAUGAGUCAAAACCAUGAAAUUCCAUCUGUUUUCUAGAUGAGGAAGUGGAAUUUUGAUAGAGAGUGAUGAAGGCAGUUCCUAGGGGUGGAAGAGUUCGGUUUGUUGUGGAGUCAAAAUCUUUUGAGAUUUUGAUUGAUGAGUCAGGUGAUAAACUGAGAGGGUGCAUUUGGGAGAGAAGCAAAGGUAUAACAUCUUGGAUCAGAUUUGGGGACGUUAGUCUAGGUAGGUUGCUGGCCGGGGUUGAGUUUUGUUGCAGAGGCGGUGAUGAUAAAGGCUGGUCCCAUGCUUGGGAGGAGGAGGGUAGGAGUUACAGGCUGGAGAAACGUCUAAAUGAGGCGGGAAGAUUUAUCUUUUGCUCGGUCCGUGAUGUAGAGGCAAAACGUUUUUGCUUAAUCUUCCCAGAAGGGAAGGGGCUGUCAGGCGGGUGGAAUAUUUUGGCAGAGAAGCUGAGAGUGGUGGGAGUAGUCCCCAUUGGAAGCUUAAAGACUCCUCUGUUUAGAGAGGUGCAGAAGAAGGAAUUGGAACUAGAAACAAGGACCUACGUGGAUGUAACAAAAUUAAGAGCGGGUAAAAUAGGAGAUAAGGUCUGGUUGGAGGUGGGAAGGAGGGUGAAGCCAGAAAGAGUUGAGCUAUUGGAUCGAUGUUUAGUGGGCAGGUGGGAAAAUGGUGUGAAUCCAUCACUAGAGCUGGAUUUUCUGAAGCAUUGGGCGGGUCAAGCUUGGCUCCUUAAAGGUAAUUUGAACAUAAAUGUUUUGGGAGGAGGGUUUUUGCUCUUCGAGUUUGAAUGUUCAAGUGAGGCUGAGCGUGUCUUGUCGAGAGGGAAGAGAAGGGUGAAAGACAAUGAAUUAAUUAUGGAAAAAUGGCAUCCGGAGGUGGGUUGCUUGGGUAAUAAAGGCAUGGUUAAAGAGGUUUGGGUGAGAGUGGUGGGCCUUCCCCUUCAUCUAUGGAGUCGAGAGGUGUUUAAAUUGAUUGGGGAUGGCUGUGGUGGUCUGAUUAAUGUGAAUGAAAAAACGUUUUCUAUGGCCAAUCUUCGAUGGGCUAGAUUGUUGGUGAGGGUGGAAGGAAGGGAUUUCCCUUCCUCAGUUCAACUGGUGGAGGGAUCGGGAUGUUAUUCAAUCCAGCUGUGGUGGGAAGUCCAGCCCUGGUAUUCUCAGGUGAUGCCGGCGGGAAGCGGGUGCUGGAAAGGUGAUACAAAGACUGAAGAUGAGGAAGGGAGUGGGUUAGGUGACGUGUGCAGAGGAAACGUGUUGGAGAAGGAGGCGCAGCUGGUGGAGCAGAUGGGAAUUCAGAGUGAGCUGCCCUGUGGAAGCUCCUCGAAAGGAACUACAGUCUUCUCUAUGGAGCCAGCUGCAAGGGGGCCUAGUGUGGAGGAGACGUAUGAAGAGGAUAGGCUAGAGAAUAGGGGUCAGGGAGCAGGUAAAGUGGUCAUAAGGGGUGGUGUUGGGUUGGGGCCUGCCGCCAUUAAGGUUGGGCCUGAUAAUGGGGAGGCCCAGAUUAGAAGCAGGCUUGGGGUAAUGAAGAGCAGUCCAGACCGUGAGGAAGCCCAGUUGUUUGGGCCGGAGGAAGCAAAGCCCAUUAUAUUAAAAGGAUGGUAGAUGGGCUGUGAGGAGAAGCCCUUUUAUAUCAGGGGUUCCUUAGUGGGCUGGGCAGGUUUGGCUGAGAUAGGCUGUGGGCCCGCGAAAGAGGGGUUAAAAGGUAUUAGGGCUUUCUCUCCCGCUGACGAAGUGGAAAUGGGAGCUAGGGCUACUGAGGAGGACUCGCAGGCUGGUGUUAGAGACGACGAGGGGGUCGCCUGCUGUCACGGAGGGGAUCAGAGGGCUUCUGAGGAUUUUUCAACGGUGUCUAGGGCACGGUUAACCGACGACGCUUUAGCAGCCGAGGCAUCCAGUUUUAUCAGGAGGAUCAACCAUGUUCAAGGACUUCCACAGAAGGUUGCAGCGUGAUGUAAAAAAAAUUGUGGAUGC